This 246-nucleotide unclassified non-coding RNA is filed under the name Setophoma sp. RNAcentral describes it as "partial contains 5.8S ribosomal RNA, internal transcribed spacer 2, and large subunit ribosomal RNA". Lineage: Eukaryota; Fungi; Ascomycota; Dothideomycetes; Pleosporales; Phaeosphaeriaceae. The record is from RNAcentral.
CGCACAUUGCGCCCCUUGGUAUUCCAUGGGGCAUGCCUGUUCGAGCGUCAUUUGUACCUUCAAGCUUUGCUUGGUGAUGGGUGUUUGUCCAAUCUUCAGAUUAGACUCGCCUUAAAAUUAUUGGCAGCCGGCAUAUUGGCCUUUGGAGCGCAGCACAUUUUGCGAUCUAAGCCUGUAUACUGGUAUCCAUGAAGCCUCUUUAUCACUUUUGACCUCGGAUCAGGUAGGGAUACCCGCUGAACUUAA